AUCCAACUGACGACUUCCAAAUGGGACGAAACGCGCGUUCCAGGAU
RNAcentral lists this non-coding RNA (46 nucleotides) under Schistosoma mansoni. The record is from RNAcentral. Lineage: Eukaryota; Metazoa; Platyhelminthes; Trematoda; Strigeidida; Schistosomatidae.